This 2445-nucleotide non-coding RNA is filed under the name Pan troglodytes (chimpanzee). Lineage: Eukaryota; Metazoa; Chordata; Mammalia; Primates; Hominidae. The record is from RNAcentral.
ACACUCAGGCGGCUCGGUUGGAGUUGCGGGCCGGAGAGGGUUGGACUCGCAGCAAGUAAGCGCCGUGCGGACGCGAGUGCACCCUGGAGAGGACCCGAGCCCGAGAGGGGGCGCGCGGAAGGCCCGGGCCCAGGAAGUUGGGGCCCGCACUUGGCCUCGCGCUCGCUGAUCCCCGUCAAGGCCCUUGGCCGGCGCUGGCGCCCCUGGGCUGUUUUUAUUCUCUAGUCGGUGAGAUCACACCGGCCGAGAGCCUCGGGAACGUGUGCGGAGGAGGAGGGGGUGAGAAGUGGGUCCUCAGAAGUGGAGAGCUGGGGACACCAGUGACAACCUGGACAAUGGCUGGAGCCAGGGGUCUCUUGAGCCUUGUGAACCGAGUGCCCGGCAGAAAAUGAGCCUCAAGGACAUCUGUUGAGUUCUUGAAGGAAUGAAUGGAGGCGCUUUCGAAUUUAUCUUUGAAAGAAAUUUACAUAACAGGGUGUUUGUUGCUGGAUCUCCUGAUAGAGAAGGAUCGGAAAUUUGAUAAUUCCCAAUAAAUGGAAGAGAGUUUUGUUUCCAAAGCAAUGAACUCACAAAAAAGUGGGGCAAGACAGGAGUUUUCGGAGAGUUUGUGUAUUCAAAAAAAGCAAAACAACAACAAACCAAUUGGCACAUUGGGGAGCUCCGCGGCUUUUCUCUCCACCAAAAGAAUUCAGGGGCGUCUGCCCGCAGGGCCCUCGGCGGUUUUCAGGAGCUACUCCAGGCCCCUCGGCCUUUCUCUUGCUGCCUCCCGCAGCCGACUAGCCGGUGUCUAAGCCCUUUGUUUGUUUUUAACAGCAGGAAUCUCCCACCCCCACCCCUGCUUUGUUUAAAAAAAAAAAAAAAAAAGUUAUCUGCAACCCUCAAGUGGGUGGGGAGUUACAAAGCCCUGUGAGGUGUGGCGGAAUCCACAAAGUCAGCCCAGAAGCGGCAGGGGCCCUUGCCUUGCUUCAGAGAACCGCCUCCCACAAGCCAAUCCGCAGCUGCUGCUGCAGAAGUGCGCUGUGCUCCUCACCCUCCUCUCUUCCUAAAUACCCGCCUGAAAAGGAGAAUACGUGAAACCCAACUGAGUCUUGACAACCUGGCUUCCGUUCCUUGCUGGUCCUCCUGUUAACGCGCUGCCGCUGUGGUCUUAGGUUUCACUGUCCUCUUCCCGUCCGUCAAGAGAGACAAGGAUGACACAAUCCACAUUUAUUGAUUGCUUUCUUCAUUCCAGGUAGCCCGCCUGCUGCCCUUUGAUUCAAUCUUAACAGUGGUUGGUGAGGUAGAUGUUCCUCUGCCUCACGUUUACGGAGGCACAGAGAGAUUACAUUACUUACUCAGGGUUCCAAGUGGCAGAGCUGGAAUUUGAACCCAGUACUUUGUUGAAGCCUCAGUCUCCGAUCUUGACACUGCACCCAGCUGCCUGGGUCACGGAAGGCAAAGAUGACAUCAUUGAUCGAGCUCUUUGCAAAACAGUUCUCUACACGGGCACACUGUUUUAACACUGCAAGGAUUAUUUGCUCACCUGUAAAAUGGGGCUAGAGGUAGCUUCCCUCGCGAUCUCCUAGGGUGGCUGUGGGAAGCUCAUGUGAAAAGGUUUGCAUUGCUAAUGCCAUGAAAAGUGGUGGAGGGAGGUCAAAUAAGUAUAACACACAUUGACGGAGCAGCUCUAAGUUGCAGCCCUCCUAUUCAGUUCCUGAACUUCCAAAAUAAAAGACUAAGGUUUUCAAGGCGUUCACAGCCUAGAGAAGCAUCAAAGGGUGGGGAUGAGGAUGAUGUGACUGAGUGGGCAAAGAUGGGCAGGGGCCUUGCAGUCAUCAUCGUCCAGUAAAGUGUUAAUCUUAACCUGAACAAGUCCAACCAUUGAGAGGUAGCCAAAGAAAGUAAGAGGGGCUCCGGAUCCAUCAGUGACUGGCCUGGCUUCCAAUCCUGGCUCUUUCUCUUCUUCCCCUUGGACAGCGUCCGUUCUCUCCGCUGUAAGAAUGGAGCAAGCGGUUCUCACUGUGCAGAGUGUUGGAUCCAGAAAGAGCAUUGUAACUGUCCUCCUGUAGUUCAAGUCCUUUAUGUUACAGAGAGAGCAAUGUCUGCUGAAGGAGGGUGAUUUGCACUGUAGAGGAAGAGCGUCAGAGAGAUUUGAGGAUUACAUGUAGUAAGUAGAAGGACCUGACAGUUCUCUUGCAGGAUCUCCUUCCCAGCCUUCAGAAAUUGCCGGUCUGGGAGUUGGGGGCAAGGAGAAGAUCCUGGGACUCCACCAUAAUUUGCAGUCACAGAAGCCAGCAGCCUGGGGACUCCACCUUUCUCACACCUCAAGCGCCAUGGAAUCCACCGCCCCAACACCCAGCCUUCAUCUUAAUUCAGGCCCCCAUCACUGCUUGCUACCAAUUGUUACAAUAAUUUUCUAAUUGUCUCCAUUCUCUACUUGCUGCCAGAGUGAGCAUUCUAAAGCAC